This is a long non-coding RNA of Panthera uncia (snow leopard), 715 nucleotides long. RefSeq lists it as uncharacterized. The transcript has 2 exons. Lineage: Eukaryota; Metazoa; Chordata; Mammalia; Carnivora; Felidae. The record is from RefSeq and is a predicted model, not a curated record.
UGUUCAACCUCUUGUGCCAUGAAAUUGACAUCUUGGUAUAAGGCAAUGCAGUGCAGGAUCCCAUGCCAAUAAGUCAGAGUUUCUCUUAGUCCUAAGAUGAUAAUGUUCUCAGAGGCCCUGCAGCAGACAAGAAAGACAAACUUCUAUCUGAGCUAAUUGGAAUUUAAAUAAAAACUUCAAAAAAAAGAAAGGAGUAUUUUCUAGGAAUGAAGAAGAACUCAUGAAAUCAAUAAUCGUAUUUUAAAUCCUCAAAAGAGAGCACCAAUCAAAUUACUACAGCCAUGCUACGUACCAACACACACUUUUGAUGAAUUCACUGCAUAGUAAUCGGGUUUUUUAUUGCAAGCAGCAAAAAUCAUCUCUGACUCUCUCAUGCAGUAAAUAAUGCAUUUUGGAAGAAUGUUAGGACUUGGAAACCACCAGGAGAUUGGAGAACUUGAUCAGAAGAUGAGCUAAAGCCAGGGGACACCAGGUUGUGGGAACCAGAGAUAGGCCCACACCCCAAGAACAUCACAGAGAACCUACAUCUCUGACGUAUCUGCCCUCACUCUCCCAUCCCUGCCUCUUUUCCUGAAACAUUCAAUGUUCCCACCACCACUGCCAGACACAGAGGCUGGGAAAACAAAUUGCAGUCUAUACUUUUCCAGGGGCCUCUUGUUCCAGAUUCAAAGUCUCAAGAAAGAUUAUGAGUCAAUAAACUGAGAUCGCUUGCUCA